Molecule: RNA transcript, 1825 nt
Organism: Tripterygium wilfordii
Lineage: Eukaryota; Viridiplantae; Streptophyta; Magnoliopsida; Celastrales; Celastraceae
Gene name: transcription factor PCL1-like
Exons: 3
Source: RefSeq, a predicted model, not a curated record
GCACGUUGGCAGAAGCACAAGAUCGAUCUGGAAUCGGAUUUUGCACUUUUUCUCUCUUUUUCUCGCCCUUUCUCUUCCCUUUGCCCCUUUGCAAUAAAAAUCAAAGAAGAAAACGCUGCAAACACAGACCACAGCCUUUUUGUUCUCCGCACUUUCCCUUCAGUCAAACAGACCACCGAAACUCGCCGAAUAGCAUCCCGGAUUUCUCUCCAUCUCCAGCUCAAUUCGUUUACCGUUUCUGUGUGUGGGAGUUGUCUGAGUGAAUUAUGGGGGAGGAAGUAAAGAUGAGCGAGGUUGAAAUUGGCGGAGAAGAUAACGCUGAUGAGGAGAGAGUUAUGGAAUGGGAGGUCGGAUUACCCAGCGUUGAUGAUGUCACACCGCUUUUUCAAGCGUUGAUCUCGCCAGAGCUUGCUUCCGCGUUCAGUAUAUCGCCGGAGCCAUACAAGACUCUCCUAGAUGUCAACCGAGCCUCGCAGAAUACCAUGUCCACGAUUCGAGGCAGCGGGGAAUCUCAUGCUAUGUCGUCGAAAAAUAACUUCAAGUCAUUUGCGGAAGAGCGGAGCCGCGACCCGAUGGUGGUGGAGGCGGACGAUGAGAUUACCGACAGGGACGGGUCCGGAUCUGAUUCACGGAAAUUGAGGAAGGUUGAGUGCGCGGAAGAGGCCGACUCGGCGUUGAGGACCGAGAAUCCUAUGGACGAUCCAGCGGCCAGGACGCUGAAACGGCCACGUCUCGUUUGGACUCCGCAGCUGCACAAGAGGUUCGUUGAAGUUGUGGCGCACUUGGGUAUCCAGAACGCAGUGCCCAAGACAAUUAUGCAGCUGAUGAACGUGGAGGGCCUGACGCGGGAGAACGUCGCCAGCCAUCUGCAAAAGUACCGGUUGUACCUGAAGCGGAUGCAGGGAAUAUCUGGCGAUGGACCGUCCUCGUCUGACCAACUCUUCCCCUCCACGCCGGUGCCGCAGAACCUGCAAGAAGGCGGUAAUGCUGGUAGUGGUGUCCAUGGGAAUGAACACGUCGGAAUGCCAAUUCCCAUGCCUUAUCCGGCACAAGGGGGGAUGAUAUCGAUGCCGAUGCCCAUGGCGGUCUACGGACACAUGGGGAUGCAGGUCGGAAAUCAGGGUGACGGGUACAGUAAUGGAUUCGACAGGAAUAAUCCAUACAGUAUGAUGCAUCAACAGAGGGAUUGGUCCAGCAAGAAUUUUACCAAUUCUAAUCACCAUAAUCAUGUGGCUUCUAAUGAUAACAACCGAUGAUUAUCAGGAUUUUGUUGCAUACAGAGGGUGGGGUAUAUAGAGGGUUGUUGCUUUGAUUGCUGGAAGUGGCUUGUCGAGAAGCUGGUUUCCUCAAAAGAUAUAUGUUGAGCAGGGACCAGAUCUAGAAGUUCAGCAACUUUUAACUCGCAGGGUACUUGUGGACUUCGAAAGUGGAUGGAGAUAUAGAGGUGUAGUUAGAAAGAACAUGAAACACUGCAGGAGUGCAGUUGAAACAUAACAUAAUCAGGCAUCAUUGCCUGACCUUCUCUUCAUAGAUAUAUUCUUCUGGUUACCUGAUGGGAGCACAACGUUCCUUGCAGUCUAUUACUUGUGGACUGGUUUACCCAAAUGGCAGCAAGUCAUCAAGUAUAUUAGUUACUUGUUCUUCAUUGAUAAAUCUGGUGAACUUUUGUAUUGUUGACGAUGUUAUACCCUCUCUUUGGCAACAAAGCGAAAGACAACAAAAAACUAGAAAAAAAUCAGUCAGCUUUCAUACCAUGAUGGUAAUGGAUUGAUUUCUAACUCUUUCACAUUCAUCUGUUUUGGAAAUGGUUAUUGUCAUUGUCUUC